RNAcentral lists this ribosomal RNA (245 nucleotides) under uncultured bacterium. RNAcentral describes it as "partial 16S ribosomal RNA". It matches the Rfam family "Bacterial small subunit ribosomal RNA", at positions 91 to 339 of the family's 1533-position model. The record is from RNAcentral.
ACGAGUGGCGAACGGGUGAGUAAUAUAUCGGAACGUGCCCAGUAGUGGGGGAUAGCCCGGCGAAAGCCGGAUUAAUACCGCAUGAGACCUGAGGGUGAAAGCGGGGGAUCGCAAGACCUCGCGCUAUUGGAGCGGCCGAUAUCAGAUUAGCUAGUUGGUGGGGUAAAGGCCCACCAAGGCAACGAUCUGUAGUUGGUCUGAGAGGACGACCAGCCACACUGGGACUGAGACACGGCCCAGACUCC